UACGUAGGGUGCGAGCGUUAAUCGGAAUUACUGGGCGUAAAGCGUGCGCAGGCGGUUCGUUAAGUCAGAUGUGAAAGCCCCGGGCUCAACCUGGGAACUGCAUUUGAAACUGGCGGGCUUGAGUGCGGCAGAGGGGGGUGGAAUUCCGCGUGUAGCAGUGAAAUGCGUAGAGAUGCGGAGGAACACCGAUGGCGAAGGCAGCCCCCUGGGCCAACACUGACGCUCAGGCACGAAAGCGUGGGGAGCAAACAGG
Molecule: ribosomal RNA, 253 nt
Filed under: uncultured bacterium
Lineage: Bacteria
Description: partial 16S ribosomal RNA
Rfam family: Bacterial small subunit ribosomal RNA
Source: RNAcentral